AUACGUAGGGAGCAAGCGUUAUCCGGAUUUAUUGGGUGUAAAGGGUGCGUAGACGGAUAAACAAGUUAGUUGUGAAAUACCUCGGCUUAACUGAGGAACUGCAACUAAAACUAUAUAUCUUGAGUACUGGAGGGGAAAGCGGAAUUCCUAGUGUAGCGGUGAAAUGCGUAGAUAUUAGGAAGAACACCGGUGGCGAAGGCGGCUUUCUGGACAGCAACUGACGUUGAGGCGCGAAAGUGUGGGGAGCAAACAGGAUUAGAUACCCUGGUAGUCCACACCGUAAACGAUGGAUACUAGGUGUUGGCUGUGAUGAGCAGUCAGUGCCGUCGCAAACGCAGUAAGUAUCCCACCUGGGGAGUACGACCGCAAGGUUGAAACUCAAAGGAAUUGACGGGG
RNAcentral lists this ribosomal RNA (396 nucleotides) under uncultured bacterium. RNAcentral's name for it is "partial 16S ribosomal RNA". It matches the Rfam family "Bacterial small subunit ribosomal RNA", at positions 523 to 918 of the family's 1533-position model. The record is from RNAcentral.